This is a non-coding RNA of Punica granatum (pomegranate), 1184 nucleotides long. The record is from RefSeq and is a predicted model, not a curated record. NCBI's taxonomy places the organism in Eukaryota, Viridiplantae, Streptophyta, Magnoliopsida, Myrtales, Lythraceae.
CUCCAUUAAUUGUGCGCUAGUUGACAUCUUUGCAACAUAUAUACUUAUAUUAAUUUAAUUUGAAAUAAAUUGAAUAAGGGAAAAAAACAAGACGACUCUCUGAUUUUCGAAAAGUUAUUUGGUGAUUUUCCUUCGCCACGUGAUCACUCACAUUUUCUUCAUUGAAGAAUUAUUAUUGGUGUCUUCUAAAAUUUUCUCCAUCAACAUCUUUCCUACCCUCGUUGAUCGCCAUUGCUCGUUCUCUUGCUCCCUCCCUCCCUCUCUCUCACAGUCGUUUCUCCCUCAUUGUUUUCAAUCGCCUGUUUCCUCCAUCUCGGAACUCACCGAUUGUCAAUAGCCCCGGUCAUCAAUGACCGACGGCUAUCUGGUUGCAUGCUUCUCUGUCUCUCUCUCUGAUCAUAAUGUGCCAUCACCGAUCGGAUUUUGCUAUUUUUCGCAUUUUACUCCACUCGGAAUCGAAGUCUGUUAUCACUGAUUGUCAGAAAUUUUGCCCUCACCGACCGUCGUUUACGGUUUCUUCCCCAUCAAGUCGUGCGUCUCUCAUUCUCAGUCUCGCUAUUCAGUUUACAAAGAAGUAUUUGUUUAUUUGCAGGUUGAGUAAAAGGCGAGCUUGAGUUCAGGAGUGCAUAUCAAUUGCUAAUAAGUCAUAGGAAAACCCUUAGUCUGAAGGUUAAGCAAUAUUUUCAGAGUUGUUUGAUGCCUUAAUGAAGCCAGAGUCCCCCGCAGAACACUUGCAACGGUGCUGCUAAAUGAAUCUAACGGUGUUCCCCAUACUCCGAUCCUUCAUUGUCAUGAAAUUGAACGAUUUGUGUCCGAAAAGUGGGGGAGAUGGAGAGAGGGACUCUCCACUAGGCAUCACACCCUCAGCCAUUUGGCCGUCUGCCUCUGAGGGCUCCGACGAACUCGGCCGGGGGCAAGGGCAGUACCUGGUGGCAACUACCCCGACCUCCUCCCUACCAUGGCGUCAGCCUUUUUUUUAAAAAGAAAAAUUAUAAUGUUCACUUUCUUUAAAUUUCUAAAAAGGGGGAAAAAAAAAAACUCUCUUAUUAACAGAUCUAUUAAUUUAGUAGGCAAACUAAAACAGUUAUUGAAAUCUACAGUGGGCAAAGUGACCCAACUCAAAAUUUGAUGGGUAAAACGAGACUAAGCAAAAACUUCAAUGACUAAAGUGUCUUUUUCCUUUU